GUUACCUACGGGACGCAGCAGUGGGGAAUAUUGCGCAAUGGGCGAAAGCCUGACGCAGCGACGCCGCGUGAGGGAUGAAGGUCUUCGGAUCGUAAACCUCUGUCAGCAGGGAAGAACGGUCACUGUGCUAAUCAGCAGUGAAUUGACGGUACCUGACUAAGAAGCCCCGGCUAACUACGUGCCAGCAGCCGCGGUAAUACGUAGGGGGCAAGCGUUAUCCGGAUUUACUGGGUGUAAAGGGAGCGUAGACGGCAUGGCAAGCCAGAUGUGAAAUACCGGGGCUCAACCCCGGGACUGCAUUUGGG
RNAcentral lists this ribosomal RNA (305 nucleotides) under uncultured bacterium. RNAcentral describes it as "bacterial SSU rRNA". It matches the Rfam family "Bacterial small subunit ribosomal RNA", at positions 334 to 631 of the family's 1533-position model. The record is from RNAcentral.